RNAcentral lists this ribosomal RNA (482 nucleotides) under Platypelis sp. Ca11 MV-2020. RNAcentral's name for it is "partial 16S ribosomal RNA". It matches the Rfam family "Bacterial large subunit ribosomal RNA", at positions 1946 to 2597 of the family's 2925-position model. The record is from RNAcentral. Lineage: Eukaryota; Metazoa; Chordata; Amphibia; Anura; Microhylidae.
CCGUGCAAAGGUAGCACAAUCACUUGUUCUCUAAAUUAGGACUAGUAUGAAAGGCCCCACGAGAGCUAUACUGUCUCCCUCCUUUAAUCAAUGAAAUUGAUCUCCUCGUGAAGAAGCGAGGAUAACAACAUAAGACGAGAAGACCCCAUGGAGCUUUAAACUUGUGUUACUGCCUUUUCUUCGCCCAUUAACCCAGGCAACCUAACUACAAGUCUUUCGGCUGGGGCGACCACGGAGAAAAACUCAACCUCCAAGACGAAACGGAGCAAUCCUAACUAUAGAGCGACAGCUCAAAAAAUCAACAUACUGACGCAUUGACCCAAACAUUUUUUGAUCAACGAACCAAGUUACCCUGGGGAUAACAGCGCAAUCCAUUUCAAGAGACCCCAUCAACAAAUGGGCUUACGACCUCGAUGUUGGAUCAGGGUACCCCAGUGGUGCAGCCGCUACUAAAGGUUCGUUUGUUCAACGAUUAAAACCCU